This 370-nucleotide transfer-messenger RNA is filed under the name Patescibacteria group. RNAcentral describes it as "UBA8517 sp001001045 Standard tmRNA". It matches the Rfam family "transfer-messenger RNA". From Rfam's summary of the family: Bacterial tmRNA, also known as 10Sa RNA or SsrA, is named for its dual tRNA and mRNA-like properties. Its role is to liberate the mRNA from a stalled ribosome. The record is from RNAcentral. RNAcentral also lists the same sequence under 1 other name.
GGGGACGAUCGGUUUCGACGGAAAGCUCUUUACAAUACUGCAAGCCGAGUUUGAUUAGUACUCGUUAAACAAGAAUCAAAAAACAAAAGCUAACUUAUUCAAUAAGCCAGCUUCAGCUAACUACGCAGUCGCGUACGCUUAACUGACGUCCUUAGAUUCGAUUCUCGGUUGAAUCAAAAGGGUGUAAACCAAUCCGGGAUGCUAUGUCAACUUUAUGAUUUAAAGGUUGCCAUCUAAGCCAAAUAAAUCUUACUUCGGGCUGCCUGUGAAUUGGCUUAAACCUGAAGGAAAUCACAAAAAUUCAAUAAGCUUGUAGAAGUUUUGCAGGAAGCGUUUUCGGACGCGGGUUCGAUUCCCGCCGUCUCCACCA